Molecule: non-coding RNA, 91 nt
Organism: Populus trichocarpa (black cottonwood)
Lineage: Eukaryota; Viridiplantae; Streptophyta; Magnoliopsida; Malpighiales; Salicaceae
Source: Rfam
UUUUUCAGGGUUAAAUGUCGACAUUUUAGAUGAGUCUUCUAUUUUUAAGGUCUGAUAUCAUUUUUUGAUGUGUCUCCAAUUUUUAGGGACC